RNAcentral lists this ribosomal RNA (253 nucleotides) under uncultured bacterium. Its description in RNAcentral is "partial 16S ribosomal RNA". It matches the Rfam family "Bacterial small subunit ribosomal RNA", at positions 524 to 776 of the family's 1533-position model. The record is from RNAcentral.
UACGGAGGGUGCAAACGUUGCUCGGAAUCAUUGGGCGUAAAGCGCACGUAGGCGGUCCAGCAAGUCGGGUGUGAAAGCCCUCGGCUUAACCGAGGAAGUGCAUUCGAAACUACUGGACUUGAAUACUGAAGAGGAUCGCGGAAUUCCAGGUGUAGUGGUGAAAUGCGUAGAGAUCCGGAGGAACACCAGUGGCGAAGGCGACACGCUGGGCCGUACCUGACACUGAUGCGCGACAGCAUGGGGAGCAAACAGG